UAGGGAAUAUUGGACAAUGGGGGCAACCCUGAUCCAGCCAUGCCGCGUGAGUGAAGAAGGCCCUCGGGUUGUAAAGCUCUUUUGUCCGGAAAGAAAAGCAUUCGGUGAAUACCCGGAUGUUCUGACGGUACCGGAAGAAUAAGCACCGGCUAACUUCGUGCCAGCAGCCGCGGUAAUACGAAGGGUGCAAGCGUUACUCGGAAUUACUGGGCGUAAAGCGUGCGUAGGUGGUUGUUUAAAUCUGAUGUGAAAGCCCUGGGCUCAACCUUGGAAUGGCAUUGGAAACUGGGCAGCUAGAGUGCGGCAGAGGGUAGUGGAAUUCCCGGUGUAGCAGUGAAAUGCGUAGAGAUCGGGAGGAACAUCUGUGGCGAAGGCGACUGCCUGGACCAGCACUGACACUGAGGCACGAAAGCGUGGGGAGCAAACA
RNAcentral lists this ribosomal RNA (427 nucleotides) under uncultured bacterium. RNAcentral describes it as "bacterial SSU rRNA". It matches the Rfam family "Bacterial small subunit ribosomal RNA", at positions 355 to 774 of the family's 1533-position model. The record is from RNAcentral.